Molecule: long non-coding RNA, 685 nt
Filed under: Phoenix dactylifera (date palm)
Lineage: Eukaryota; Viridiplantae; Streptophyta; Magnoliopsida; Arecales; Arecaceae
Description: long non-coding RNA (PDAC_LNC003720)
Source: RNAcentral
CGCUGUGUGUGGAAGCUGGAAAUUGUGGUUGAAACCUUUAAGAGGUGAAUCAAUGUGGGAUAUAGAUGGUUUUUAUUAGGAGGUAGGUGAGGGGGUAAGGUGGCUUUCUCAUGUGAUAGCUUUUGAUGCCGGAGUAAAUGGCACAUUGAAAUCUCUUCUGUCCCACCGUGUCCAGUUUCUGCCGUGCACGGUUGCAGGAUGCUGCUGCGUUCUUCGGCCGAUGUCCAAACUUAUACAUUCUGGAACCUCAUCGUCUAUAUUUUGCCAACCGGGCGUGUAUGCUGCAUCACAAAUUAAAGAAACUGCACCUUGUUAGGAUAUUAAUGAGCCUUUUUGUCUCAGAGAUUAGCCUAUUAACCGCUAAAGUACUCUACUGUUUAGAUGCUGAAGAAGUGUAAGGACCAAUGCAGAUGUAUGUUUAGUUUCACAUUAGUUAUUUACUAGAUAAAUCUUGAAUAUUUAUAUAGAAUCAAAAAACUCAAAAUAAUAUUUUCUAACUAGCUAUUUUGGGUUAUUAUAAAUGGUAUCAAAGCGGAUUGAUGACUAAGUUUAGAAUAUUUGGCAGUAUGCAGUACGGGAAUAUGUAAAUGCUUAAUUUUUCCAUAUAUUUGGGAUAACAUUAACAGAUAAGCCAAGGUUCGUAUGAAUGCGGAGAAGGAAGCACUAAGGUCCACAUCUCUGAGAC